GGAAGCGUAGCUCAGUUGGCAGAGCAGCUGACUCUUAAUCAGCGGGUCGUGGGUUCGAGUCCCUCCGCUUCUACCA
RNAcentral lists this transfer RNA (76 nucleotides) under Verrucomicrobiota bacterium. RNAcentral describes it as "Verrucomicrobia bacterium (freshwater metagenome) tRNA-Lys". It matches the Rfam family "tRNA". Rfam says of the family: Transfer RNA (tRNA) molecules are approximately 80 nucleotides in length. Their secondary structure includes four short double-helical elements and three loops (D, anti-codon, and T loops). The record is from RNAcentral. Lineage: Bacteria; Pseudomonadati; Verrucomicrobiota.